CAAAGAUUAAGCCAUGCAUGUCUAAGUAUAAACAAAUUUAUACAGUGAAACUGCGAAUGGCUCAUUAAAUCAGUUAUAAUUUAUUUGAUAUUCACUUACUACUUGGAUAACCGUGGUAAUUCUAGAGCUAAUACAUGCGUACAUAACCUCGACUUCUGGAAGAGGUGCACUUAUUAGAUAAAAAGCCAACGCGGGCAACCGCUUGUAUGGUGAUUCAUAAUAAUUAAGCGAAUCGCAUGGCCUUGUGCCGGCGAUGAUGCAUUCAAAUUUCUGCCCUAUCAAGUUUCGAUGGUAGGUUAGUGGCCUACCAUGCUUUUAACGGGUAACGGGGAAUUAGGGUUCGAUUCCGGAGAGGGAGCCUGAGAAACGGCUACCACAUCCAAGGAAGGCAGCAGGCGCGCAAAUUACCCAAUCCCGACACGGGGAGGUAGUGACAAUAAAUAACAAUACAGGGCCUUUACGGGUCUUGUAAUUGGAAUGAGUACAAUUUAAAUCCCUUAACGAGGAACAAUUGGAGGGCAAGUCUGGUGCCAGCAGCCGCGGUAAUUCCAGCUCCAAUAGCGUAUAUUAAAGUUGUUGCAGUUAAAAAGCUCGUAGUUGAAUUUUGGCCUUGGGUGGUUUGGUUUGGCCUUCAUUGGUCAAUGCCUUUUCCGCCUAGGUCUUACCUUCUGGGUUAGCUAGUGUCACUUCGGUGGCGCUAGUGAACCAGAACUUUUACUUUGAAAAAAUUGGAGUGUUUAAAGCAGGCUUUCAAGCUUGAACAUAUUAGCAUGGAAUAAUGAAAUAGGACUUUGGCCUUAUUUCGUUGGUUUCUAAAGCCAAAGUAAUGAUGAAUAGGGAUAGUUGGGGACAUUAGUAUUCAAUUGUCAGAGGUGAAAUUCUUGGAUUUAUUGAAGACUAACUUCUGCGAAAGCAUUUGUCAAGGAUGUUUUCAUUAAUCAAGAACGAAAGUUAGGGGAUCGAAGACGAUCAGAUACCGUCGUAGUCUUAACCAUAAACUAUGCCGACUAAGGAUCGGAUGGUGUUAUAUUUUAUAUUGACCCAUUCGGCAUUUCAGCGAAAGCCAAGUUUUUGGGUUCCGGGGGGAGUAUGGUCGCAAGGCUGAAACUUAAAGG
Molecule: ribosomal RNA, 1115 nt
Filed under: Umbelopsis ramanniana
Lineage: Eukaryota; Fungi; Mucoromycota; Umbelopsidomycetes; Umbelopsidales; Umbelopsidaceae
Also listed under: 1 other name
Description: SSU rRNA
Rfam family: Eukaryotic small subunit ribosomal RNA
Source: RNAcentral